Molecule: ribosomal RNA, 393 nt
Filed under: uncultured bacterium
Lineage: Bacteria
Description: partial 16S ribosomal RNA
Rfam family: Bacterial small subunit ribosomal RNA
Source: RNAcentral
AUACGGAGGAUCCGAGCGUUAUCCGGAUUUAUUGGGUUUAAAGGGAGCGUAGGUGGAUUGUUAAGUCAGUUGUGAAAGUUUGCGGCUCAACCGUAAAAUUGCAGUUGAAACUGGCAGUCUUGAGUACAGUAGAGGUGGGCGGAAUUCGUGUUGUAGCGGUGAAAUGCUUAGAUAUCACGAAGAACUCCGAUUGCGAAGGCAGCUCACUAGACUGUUACUGACACUGAUGCUCGAAAGUGUGGGUAUCAAACAGGAUUAGAUACCCUGGUAGUCCACACAGUAAACGAUGAAUACUCGCUGUUUGCGAUAUACAGUAAGCGGCCAAGCGAAAGCAUUAAGUAUUCCACCUGGGGAGUACGCCGGCAACGGUGAAACUCAAAUGAAUUGACGGGG